ACUUAUAUAAUAUAAAUAAAUUAAUUAUAUUUGAUUUCCAAUCAAAAAAUCUACAAAUUAGUAUAAGUA
This 69-nucleotide transfer RNA is filed under the name Epitrix abeillei. RNAcentral describes it as "tRNA-Gly". Lineage: Eukaryota; Metazoa; Arthropoda; Insecta; Coleoptera; Chrysomelidae. The record is from RNAcentral.